CGGAGGAUCCAAGCGUUAUCCGGAAUCAUUGGGUUUAAAGGGUGCGUAGGUGGGCAAGUAAGUCAGUGGUGAAAUCUCCGGGCUUAACCCGGAAACUGCCAUUGAUACUAUUUGUCUUGAAUACUGUGGAGGUCAGCGGAAUAUGUCAUGUAGCGGUGAAAUGCUUAGAUAUGACAUAGAACACCAAUUGCGAAGGCAGCUGGCUACGCAAAUAUUGACACUGAGGCACGAAAGCGUGGGGAUCAAACAGGAUUAGAUACCCUGGUAGUCCACGCCCUAAACUAUGGAUACUCGACAUUUGCGAUAAACUGCAAGUGUCUGAGCGAAAGCAUUAAGUAUCCCACCCGGGAAGUACGAUCGCAAGAUUG
RNAcentral lists this ribosomal RNA (368 nucleotides) under uncultured organism. Its description in RNAcentral is "bacterial SSU rRNA". It matches the Rfam family "Bacterial small subunit ribosomal RNA", at positions 526 to 896 of the family's 1533-position model. The record is from RNAcentral.